Molecule: ribosomal RNA, 253 nt
Filed under: uncultured bacterium
Lineage: Bacteria
Description: partial 16S ribosomal RNA
Rfam family: Bacterial small subunit ribosomal RNA
Source: RNAcentral
UACGUAGGUGGCGAGCGUUGUCCGGAAUUACUGGGUGUAAAGCGCGCGUAGGCGGUAGGCCAAGUCUGCUGUGAAAUCGCCCGGCUCAACUGGGCGCGGUCGGUGGAAACUGGUCAACUGGAGGACGGUAGAGGCGAGUGGAAUUCCCGGUGUAGUGGUGAAAUGCGUAGAGAUCGGGAGGAACACCAGUGGCGAAGGCGGCUCGCUGGGCCGGACCUGACGCUGAGGCGCGAAAGCGUGGGGAGCGAACAGG